Long non-coding RNA from Pangasianodon hypophthalmus (striped catfish), 1843 nucleotides. RefSeq lists it as uncharacterized. NCBI's taxonomy places the organism in Eukaryota, Metazoa, Chordata, Actinopteri, Siluriformes, Pangasiidae. The record is from RefSeq and is a predicted model, not a curated record. The transcript is spliced from 4 exons.
CCUUGUAGUUAUUGUUUUGCCUGAUGAUGUUAACUUGGAUAACUUGAAUAAAAACCUAGGAGUGCUGUGCCACUAAUCCUAACACACAGUGUUAAUUGUUGUCAUUUCUUAACACCGAUCACCUGAUGGGGCCUGAAAUUAGGCCGAGCUCACAGAACAGGCUUGAGGUAGCACAAAUGCGACACUUAGUGACCCAAAUGAAGAUCUUUCCAAAUUAAACCUGAGCCGUUUUUAUCCAGGCUCCUGGGCUGGAUUUAUAGUUAUAUUGAUAUUUAUAGCAUUUACCAGAUGUCUUUAUCCAGAGCAAUGUACAGAAGUGCUUUGUAGAACCUCCACACACUAGUACACAGAGGUCAGGGUUUAAAAAUAGUGGAAAGCUGAAACUCUGUUAGAGAGGAGUUAGUGUGCGAGAUACACAUCGAGAAAUUCACUCACUCGCAGUCACUGAGCGCUUCAUCCUGAUCAGGGUGGAGUAAAAGCCGGAGUCUUUCCCGGGAACGCUGGGCGAUGUUCAUCACGAGAAAGCCGUGUUUAAUGAAGCUGAAAGGAUGAAAGAAUGAACAUUUCUUCCUACGCCUCCUCACAAACAGGUUACUGUAAUUCCUAAUUCACGAGGAUUUCCCGAAGUGCAGAUGGAAUGACUGCAGUGGAGUAAGGAACGUGCUGGUGGAAAAAAAUAAACAGCAGAAAGCUGUGACGUCAUCGUGGUUUCUUGGAUCUGUAUUAACGGCUGUGUUUAAUGGACGUGGGAGUGAAAGUGGAGAAAAUGGGAAGAAGCCGAAAGAAGGCAGCCGAUGAGUGAGAGAAAGACCUGAGGAAAUUCUGGUGUGGUGGCAGAUGGUUUCUGCUGAAAAACUCAAUAAAACAACAGUAAGUGAAUUAGAGGAGCAGCGUAAAGGAGGGAGAAGAAUCAGGAAAAAAAGUGCUUUUCAUGUCUCAGGCAGCAAUUACAGUCUCGCUGUUUGGACUUUUAGAUUUUAAAUGUUUCCCUAUUUGAAUUUGGUUUGUGAAAGAACAGCAGGAAGCAUCCUGAACUUUUUUUUUUUAACAAUGAAACUGAAGCAUUGCAUGAUGGGAAAAUCACAGUGAAACACGUUCAUGUACGGUGCAUCGUCCAAUUAUCAUGAACAUUCUGAGUGACUGACGUCAUGGUGAAUUGUGUAGAAAUAAUGAAUCAAAGCCUUUGUAGCUAAAAUAGACACAGUUGCACUCAGACAUCGCAUCACUCGUUUUCACAAGUUUGAAGAAAACAGUAGAGGAGAUUGUUUGGAACACAGGAGCGUUCACUUUUUCAUUUCACUCGCAGACAUCUGCCAUCACAUCAAACCCCAAACUUGCCAUGUAUAUUUAAUCACUUCAUGUAAAGUUAACAAAAAUGACGUGAGUUCCUGAAACAGGAAGUGAGGCAAUAUCUCAUCAGCAGUUUGAUGUUUUGCCUGUAAAUAAAGAGGGAAUAAACGCUGAUGGUCCCGAUGGCUUGGUGACAGAAAGUGCCUGGCCCCCUUAAUUGCUGCUUGCAGCUGUAUGAUUCAUUUGCAUUUUUAAAUACAUUCUGCUGUUUUAUGAAAUCGCUUGUGUACAAAUGAUGUUACUGAGCCGAACGCCGAGCUGAACCGCAGGAUAUGUUACUCAUUAGCUACAUCAGCUCAUUGUAACUGCAGUGGAAAACUAGAGUAGACUACGAGUCAUGACUAAUAAACUAAAGCAGCUGUGAAGAGGACGAGGAAGAGAUUUUAAUUUUCACCAAACACUCAUUUUAAAAUAAACUUUGUUUCAUGCUCUGCUAUUCUGCCUCUCUCAAACCUCUCACGUAGAACCGUCAUUAUCACACUAAUCUGCUCCA